Molecule: long non-coding RNA, 2049 nt
Organism: Python bivittatus (Burmese python)
Lineage: Eukaryota; Metazoa; Chordata; Lepidosauria; Squamata; Pythonidae
Source: RefSeq, a predicted model, not a curated record
CAAAGGUGAUUGAGAAGGAUUCUUAAUCCUGCUUCCAACUGCUGCUUUGCUUCUUCUGUGUCACAUUCCCUGACCAACUGCUUCGGAUAGGUGUUUGCUGUUUCACUUCAGGAAUGGAGAAGACAUUGUAGACAAAAAGCAAAAAAAAUCAGAAAAGCAUUCUUCUUCCACUGCACCUAUGCAUAUUUAUAGGAAAGCCAUGGAAGAGUUGAAUGGAAGAGAAAGCUUGGGGCCAAUCAAAUAUAAAAGAGGAGGAAUACACUGAAACUUACAAGAUCAGCCAAAUUUGGCCAGUUGCUGAAACCUAGUUGGGGAUGGCAAAGAAAGGAAGUUAUACUUCAGAAGAUUUCCUGUCUGAUCCUGCGCCGGGAAGACCCCAGUGAUAAAACUCAAAAUGGAUUGUUAUUUUUCCUUCAUCACUGAAAGGCUGCUUCAGACAACACAUUUUAUUCAGCCUGCUUGCACCCCCUAGAUAAAUAACUUACUGGUGAUCCAGUGGCAGAUGUUCAAUAGACUGAAAACCUACCCCAGUUAUAUUGGGAGCGGCCAUCUUGGAUGCUACCCCAGCCACUCAUAUGUCUGUCAUUUUCCUUUUGAACAAUUGAUGAAAAAAUUAAAAUAAAAAAUUGUUAUGACCCAGUCCUGGAGUCACCAGAGUUGGCUUGGCUUACCCUGACCACUUUCAAUACCCAUUUCACCCCACCAUGAAUCCAGGGGUUGAAAAAAAAAGUAUUAAGAAAUGGAGCUACUCAAGGCUUCUAUUUUUUUGCACUGAUAGAGAUAGGUAAUCUUUAUUAAUCUUUUCUUGAUAAGGGUUUUCUUGUUUGAAGUACAUUCUGUCCAACCCUUGAUCCCUUCAUGCAAUACCCAUCAAAGUGACUAAGUUUAGAAAAUAAAUCUUGAUUUAGCAAUCAGAUGGAACACCACAGGAAUUUCAUUUUCUGCAUCCAGUUUCACAAAGUACAAUAGACACCCUUUAUCUUCCUUUCAAUUAAUGCCCACAUAUAGAACAAAAUGAUGCCCUGGGACUAAAAAUGAAAGAUAAGACAACAUAGGGCUCAAUUUUGUCUUGGUUUCCAUUUUUCCCCACAGACAUAAUGAAAACUUUUCUUCAUUAAAAAAAGAAGAAAAAAAUUUAAUAUAUUGGUUCCCCAUUGCUUUGUGAAGCAUGUAAACAAUUGCUAGUGCCAUCAAUUAUUUGCUUACUAAAAGCUUUUAAGAAUGUAACAUCACAAUUGGGAUAUUUUAAAGCUUUCUUCAAUAUUUGCUUAAGUAAGGCGAUGAUUCUGCACAUCUGUAAUUCCAAAUACGUGAAGUUGUAAUUUCUAAUACUGGAUUUAAUUGUGGAGGAUAAAUUACUAUGACCUAGAUUAAGCUAAUUUCAUUAUGCAUUUUGCACUCUAACUUAAAUUGGUCUUUAAAUCCUAGCUAUUGAUUCCAGCAGAGGCAGGUUAAUGAGGGUUCCCUUUGCAAAGAUGGCUGAUUGUCAAUAUUUGCUCCAAAAUUGCUCUAUGCUCUGAGAACAAAGAGCUCUUAUAAAUAUUUGAUAAGCAAUGAUAAAUAUAUUCGUCUUCUUUAUAUCAGAGUAAAAAAAACCCUGAUAAACAUAAAGACAAGGUAAAAGUCAAUAUAAUCUGGACUGUUAGAAUAAGUGAAACUGAAUUUUAAGAACAUUAGAAACUUACAGUGGACACAUUUAAAUGUUUAGAAGCUUGGGUGAAAUAAACUGUUAAUUCCAUGAAUAGAUAGAGUAUUUAUGCUGAUCUAACUGAAGAAAAAAGUCUCUAGGGAGAUUUUCCUGAAAAAUCAUGUCUGCUGUGAUCACUGUUUCGUGUCCUAUGACUAUCUGAAAAAGUGAGUAAUAGUAAUGUAGGUGAAUAAUAGGGAUCUCAUGGAGCUAUUGUGAGGGCAUAGCACACAAUUAAAAAAAAAAAGUAAGUCGUUUCACUCAUUUAAAGGAUGAUGGAAGUCAUGAGUCAGUGUAAUGGUAUGUGGGAAAACCUUGGGAGACUGGGCAAAGAGAUGCUGCCUAGGGAACAGUCAGAGAAG